AUUGAACGCUGGCGGCAUGCUUUACACAUGCAAGUCGAACGGCAGCGCGGGCUUCGGCCUGGCGGCGAGUGGCGAACGGGUGAGUAAUGCAUCGGAACGCGCCCAGUAGUGGGGGAUAGCCCGGCGAAAGCCGGAUUAAUACCGCAUACGACCUGAGGGUGAAAGCGGGGGACCGAAAGGCCUCGCGCUAUUGGAGCGGCCGAUGUCGGAUUAGCUAGUUGGUGGGGUAAAGGCUUACCAAGGCGACGAUCCGUAGCUGGUCUGAGAGGACGACCAGCCACACUGGGACUGAGACACGGCCCAGACUCCUACGGGAGGCAGCAGUGGGGAAUUUUGGACAAUGGGGGCAACCCUGAUCCAGCCAUGCCGCGUGCGGGAAGAAGGCCUUCGGGUUGUAAACCGCUUUUGUUCGGGAAGAAAUCCUCUGGGCUAAUACCCCGGGGGGAUGACGGUACCGGAAGAAUAAGCACCGGCUAACUACGU
Molecule: ribosomal RNA, 483 nt
Filed under: uncultured bacterium
Lineage: Bacteria
Description: partial 16S ribosomal RNA
Rfam family: Bacterial small subunit ribosomal RNA
Source: RNAcentral